This is a non-coding RNA of Xyrichtys novacula (pearly razorfish), 1011 nucleotides long. The record is from the annotation of a GenBank genome assembly. Lineage: Eukaryota; Metazoa; Chordata; Actinopteri; Labriformes; Labridae.
CGGAUCUCGGCUCGCCUCCGUGCGGCUCAUGCCACGAAAAUACCAAAUUGGCCUUACGCUGGGCUCCGCCAGACGAAAAUACAACUGCGCGGGGCUCGCCGCCCUCCGCCGCCUCACCGGCGCGAACGAAAAUAGAGCCCAUAGUCUCAAUGCAAGAAGCGGCCUCUGAAAUAGACAAACAGUUAUGGCGUGACCGAGGUGCAACACAGGAUACCACAGGAUUGUGGAGGAAUCAUGAAGGGCUGAUGGUGGCACCUCCAGACCUACUUGGAUUAUUGAUUCAAGAGGCACAUGGGUUAGCACAUGUUGCAAGGGGGGAAGUUAAAAGAAACAUCAUAAAGGAGUAGGUUUCUGGACACCACAUUUGCGUGAGCAAAUUGAUUUAUCAUAAGUAGAUGUACAAUGUGUCUAAAAAAUAAUGUUCAAAGGUGUAACAGUUGAAGCUUGUUCAACCAAGUGGAAACAUGCUCAGUAUGUUGCCAAGUUCUUGUGUAGGGAGGUCAUAAGCAGAUGGGGACUUUCAGAGUAAAUAUUCUAAGAUAAUGGAGAAGAGUGUGUGGAUAAAACAGUGAAACUGAUUUGAAAAAACUAAGAACUGAACAAUGUUUGGGAGCUGUGUACCAUCCGCAAAGCCAAGGUAUCUGUGAAAAAAUGAAUGGGGUGAUGAAAAACCCGCUGGGUAAGAUUGGCCAGUACAGGUUUACAUUUUGAUGUCAUGAAGGGGGAGUAUUACGUAGGGGGAAAUAGGAUAAACAUGUCAAACAAACAAAAAUGUAUGUUUUUGGCAAGAUACUGCUUAAUUUUUUCAUUCUCAGGACAGCAGUUGGGGAGACCAGCGAAAGAAAGGUGGUUCUCCAGAGAUCUAAACAGCCUUAAUGGACCCACACCUCCCAACAAGACAAUCAAACAUGGACAAUGUAAACACAACUGAAACCUGACAGAAGAUGUGAACAAGAACAUUGCAUUGGAUACCCAAACAGAGAACACCCAUGGACAAGAACACUACACAAG